GAUGAAGAACGCAGCGAAAUGCGAUAAGUAAUGUGAAUUGCAGAAUUCAGUGAAUCAUCGAAUCUUUGAACGCACAUUGCGCCCGCCAGUAUUCUGGCGGGCAUGCCUGUCUGAGCGUCAUUUCAACCCUCAUGCCCCUAGGGCGUGGUGUUGGGGAUCGGCCAAAGCCCGCGAGGGACGGCCGGCCCCUAAAUCUAGUGGCGGACCCGUCGUGGCCUCCUCUGCGAAGUAGUGAUAUUCCGCAUCGGAGAGCGAUGAGCCCCUGCCGUUAAACCCCCAACUUUCCAAAGUUGACCUCAGAUCAGGUAGGAAUACCCGCUGAACUUAAGCAUAUCAAUAAGCGGAGGA
RNAcentral lists this unclassified non-coding RNA (348 nucleotides) under soil metagenome. RNAcentral's name for it is "partial contains 5.8S ribosomal RNA, internal transcribed spacer 2, and large subunit ribosomal RNA". The stretch from base 1 to 120 matches the Rfam family "5.8S ribosomal RNA", at positions 35 to 154 of the family's 154-position model. The record is from RNAcentral.